Molecule: long non-coding RNA, 2030 nt
Organism: Cynoglossus semilaevis (tongue sole)
Lineage: Eukaryota; Metazoa; Chordata; Actinopteri; Pleuronectiformes; Cynoglossidae
Exons: 5
Source: RefSeq, a predicted model, not a curated record
AAACGUUUCCAUCCAAUUGUACUUUUCUAAAUUUGCGCUACGAGUGACGUCCAUGUUCUUGCCUCAGAACAACGACAAUGAUUGGCAGAGUGGUUUGCUGCGCCCGCCAAAUGAGACGAGAGAAUGGGAAAGGAAAGAAGAAGGGAAAAAAAAGAAUAAGCAACGGAAAAUGAGACGAGGAGAAGCAAAGACAAAUGACCUGUUGUCGUCCCCACUGCACCUGUGCGAGGAGACCGACGUAGCAGCUGAACACCAUGGCAACAUGACGCUGAACGAGGAAGUGUGGAGGUUAAAACACACGGCGACUGACGUUUCCUCCUUUUAUCACUCAACGAGAGCGUCUAUGAUCACGAGCUGUGAUCCCAGCCCCGAGGAAGUAGAGACACACUGAAUAACUGACUCGGAGAAGCUGAAGAGGAGACUCGACUUGUCAGACUGCCACUCUUCUACAUGCAAGGAUACCUUUUUCUCAAGACAAGUUGAAUUUCUUCUUGCCAAAACACAUUCAAGGAGGGAGCAGCAGUACCAGCAGCUCACGGCCAAAGAAAAAUGGCAACAAUCAAAAAAGCACAAUGGCUGCCUCCAAGAAUGACAUUUUCACACUUGUUCCCAUUGAUUCAUUGGCAACACUGAGACAAAAAGACACAAAGGCGACAGGAUCGCUGUGAAAACACUAAAAACCACAGCUCUGCUGCCUUCCUCCGGGCUGCGACUGGAAACUGACUCAGAAAAGUACAAAUGGAAAACACCUUUCGUCUCUCUGCUGCCUCGCACUUCCUCUGUUCUCGUUCCCUUUACCUUCUGUCACAAUGGAAGUAUCUAUGAGUACAGUAUAUAUAUAUUUUCUGACACGCUGGUUUUUGUCUUUUUGAUGUUUUAUUCAUUAAACGCUGUGUUUGUUUUGCCAGCGUAUAUGCAUUAAAUUCUUCUUCUUUUUUUUCCAUUUCUGCAUUGGAACAGCAUGGAAUAAUUAUUUAUUUAUUUUAUCCACCAGCCCAAAAAAUGUUUGAGAGGAAAAAUAGGCAGUGAAACUGAUGAGUCACCAGUGCUGAUAUCUGUGCUGUUUUUCACCAACACAACAUUUCCUGCACUUUUUCUAAGUAAAAGCACUCUAGCACUUCAGUGUCCUGAAUCCACCUCAUUCAAAACAAACCUCUAUUGUUCACGCCGAGUCCUCCUCGCGUCGAGCUGAAAAGUAUUUAGACGUACAUUAUCGUCUGCUGCGGCAGUCGCAGAUGGGUGAUGCGGCAGAAUGGAGUCGUUAACACGUGCGUCUCACGUUUGCUGUCGCAGCCAACGGAGAGUCGGAUGCCAGCGUUCAAUUUUUUAUUUUUUUUUUUCCCUUCACUUGGACCUUGAAGUAACUCUUCAAUGGAGCGCUUGUCUUUUUAUUCGACCACCAGAGUGUUGUUUGAGAUUAUUAAAGACGUUCAUUAAUCCGGCGUCAACGCAGGCUGAUUAGUGUACACUCACAUCUGUGGUCACUGUCCCUAGGUGGCCUCUGUCAGUUGCAACUGUCACAGGCUGAUUUAAUUUCCACGGGCUCGUUCACAGGGACUCUGGGAACAGUGUGCACCCAGCUCUCUGCCUUCAUUAAACUCCCAGUGCACAUUCUCUUCAUUUCAACAGACAAUCCAUCUGCCGUUCUAAAGCGUGUUUUGUCAAGAGUUGUUAGCCGCUUGGCCCCAGGGAUGAGAACCGUAGGCUAUUAUUAAUCUUGUUUGUUUCGUGUUUCUCUGUCUCUCUGCAAUAGAGGGAUUUAGAGCCUGGUAGACUUUCUCUUCUGUAGACAUAAUCAAUUGUGUUUUUUUUUUUUUUUUUUUUACCCUUUUUAGACUUUUGACGGAAGGCUGCCUCCAAGGUCUCCAAGUGUCACCUUGUGAAUAAUUACUUUUUUUCCGACAGCUGUUUCAGUCUCGUAGCUUUAAGUUUCCACUAAAUUAAGAUUAAGCAUUCAAGAACAAAGGGAGCUGAGAAAGAGACACAUUUGAAGAUAAACCUCAUGCAUUAUGUGCCCUGAGUGAUAUAAG